GGGCCCGCACAAGCGGUGGAGCAUGUGGCUUAAUUCGAGGCAACGCGAAGAACCUUACCUGGUCUUGACAUGCCCGUCAUAGUUUUCCGAAAGGAAUUCGUCAGUUCGGCUGGACGGUGCACAGGUGCUGCAUGGCUGUCGUCAGCUCGUGUCGUGAGAUGUUCGGUUAAGUCCGGCAACGAGCGCAACCCUCGUUUCCAGUUGCCAGCGGGUAAUGCCGGGGACUCUGGAAAGACAAACCUCUUGUUGAGGUGGGAAGGUGGGGACGACGUCAAGUCAGUAUGGCCCUUACGACCAGGGCUGCACACGUGCUACAAUGCCCGGCACAAUGGGAUGCAAUAUCGCGAGAUUGAGCAAAUCCACAAAACCGGGCCCAGUUCGGAUUGGAGUCUGCAACUCGACUCCAUGAAGUUGGAAUCGCUAGUAAUGGCGUAU
Molecule: ribosomal RNA, 435 nt
Filed under: uncultured bacterium
Lineage: Bacteria
Description: bacterial SSU rRNA
Rfam family: Bacterial small subunit ribosomal RNA
Source: RNAcentral